Molecule: long non-coding RNA, 1663 nt
Organism: Culex quinquefasciatus (southern house mosquito)
Lineage: Eukaryota; Metazoa; Arthropoda; Insecta; Diptera; Culicidae
Exons: 3
Source: RefSeq, a predicted model, not a curated record
GAAUCGGCACGCUCCGGAGUCCACCGAUUCGAGCGUGCCGAGAGGGGUCCCUCCUUGACGAUGAAGGCCAGCGGCCUGAGGGUUGUCGUCCUUUACGGUUAUGGCGCGGGGAGGCGCCAGACGACGGGGUGGUCCUACGACGAUUAGACGUAGGCAGAGCGCGACGCGACUUAUACUGCCUAGGCCGACCAAUCCGGGUGAACGCGUGCUCACGGAACCUCCUGGUCCCGCACUUCCGCGUGAAGGCGAUUGGCUACCUUCACUCCAACGAGCGCGAACUGUCCACUCGGACGCCUGUAGAUUAAAAGAGGCCGAUCCUCCCCAGAUCGGCGCUUUUAUUGUUGAUCCCAAGUCCAGGAUUUCCCCAUCCAUUUUCCCGCUCUGUCGCAUGGGCGCUGCCAUGCUGCCCCAUCGGGAAAUAGAUGGACAUCGGCUUCACUUACAGCGGCUCGCUUCACCCCUUUCCAACUGUCAAGUGUGGUGAAUGUGUAAUAAAAAUACUGAAGCGAAGCAUGAAUUCGUUAAGGAUUGUGACCAACGGUUACACUAUCCACUACCCCGGCGAAAAAAUGUGAAGGCACGAAGUGAAUGAACAUUUUUUUAAGCGAAAUGCAUUUCCAAAAUCGUCUUCAGCACUCCUCGGGUUCACAGACUUGUGUAAGUGGUCACUUGUUUAUGUACUAGCCUCAUUGUAGGCACAUUUCUGCGUGUCCUGGUGACAAUCAAUCUCAAAGUUUAUUGAAAUUAUUCAAAAUAUUGAAAAAGUUGGCAUAGCAAACAAAUACAAAUAAAUAAAUUAAAAUUUAGACAUGCACUACAAUUUAAAAUAAAUUAUUUAAAAGAAUCCCAAAAUAUUAGUAGACAACUCUAUUUACAAUUUUACAUAAGCGUUCUUCAACGACUUCAACUUCCAUGGACUAUGCGCAUUUAAUCCAAUUUUAGAUCACAUUCGAUCAUAUUCGGAAGUUCACCACAAGGGUUCAUUCCUGACGGGUCAACUGUCUGACAGUUCCCGAAACGUCUCUAAUCUGUCAAAGGUCAGCAUAUCGCAUUGUUUACAUUGCGUAUAUGUGAAAGUGUAUUCAGGUGAAAAUUUACUCACAAGUUCGGUAUAAAUGUGUUGAAAAUUGGCCGAAAAUUCAACGAAAGGACAAGGUAAGUGUAAUGCAUUACAAACAUAACGAAAAUCUUCUAUUUCAGGGUAAUUUUGACUAGUAUUGGUGGGCCACAGAGGGCAAAAUAGUGCGUGGAAGAUCGCUGCCAGGAACGCAGUCUUUUUUCAAAGACUGGCCUGCAGGAGUCCACUGAAAAUCCCGGGAUUCACCAUGAUAGCCAUCUUGACGCGCAAGAUCAGCUACAGGUCGACUGAUCCCCUCACCACAACACCACCAGCCGCGCUCAGACCGAGGGUUAUUAAUUUUCGCCCCUUGGUCAUCCACGAACUGGCCCGUUGGGCUAUGGAUCAUCGAUAACAAUGAUAUCGUCCACCUUUCGGUUAUGCGUUCGGUGAGGCCGGGUAAUCCAGAUCAGCUGACUUGGUCCAGGGUAGUGGGACAUCGCCCGAAGAAUCCCUAGCACCCAAGUCGGUGCCGAUCGUGGCCACAACUUCACCAACGGAACCAUACUAAGUGUCGACGGAUAUUAGGAUUAAGAAACUAGAAAA